AGGAUUAACGCUGGCGGCGUGCCUAACACAUGCAAGUCGAACGAGGUAGCAAUACCUAGUGGCAGACGGGUGAGUAACGCGUGGUCAACCUGCCCUUGAGCGGGGGAUAACUAGCCGAAAGGUUAGCUAAUACCGCAUACGUCUAGGAUGGCAUCAUCCAAAGAUAAAAGCCGCAAGGCACUCGAGGAGGGGACCGCGUCCCAUUAGUUAGUUGGUGGGGUAACGGCCUACCAAGACUCCGAUGGGUAGCUGGUUUGAGAGAGCGACCAGCCACACUGGGACUGAGAAACGGCCCAGACUCCUACGGGAGGCAGCAGUGAGGAAUUUUCCGCAAUGGGCGAAAGCCUGACGGAGCGACGCCGCGUGUGGGAAGAAGGCCUUCGGGUCGUAAACCACUGUCGAAGGGGACGAUAUUGACGAUACCCUUGGAGGAAGCCCCGGCUAACUACGCGCCAGCAGCCGC
Molecule: ribosomal RNA, 463 nt
Filed under: uncultured bacterium
Lineage: Bacteria
Description: SSU rRNA
Rfam family: Bacterial small subunit ribosomal RNA
Source: RNAcentral